This 253-nucleotide ribosomal RNA is filed under the name uncultured bacterium. Its description in RNAcentral is "partial 16S ribosomal RNA". It matches the Rfam family "Bacterial small subunit ribosomal RNA", at positions 524 to 776 of the family's 1533-position model. The record is from RNAcentral.
UACGGGGGGGGCAAGCGUUGUUCGGAAUUACUGGGCGUAAAGGGUCCGUAGGUGGCCAACUAAGUCAGACGUGAAAUCCCUCAGCUUAACUGGGGAACUGCGUCUGAGACUGGAUGGCUCGAGUGCAGGAGAGGAAUGCGGAAUUCCAGGUGUAGCGGUGAAAUGCGUAGAUAUCUGGAGGAACACCGGUGGCGAAGGCGGCAUUCUGGACUGCAACUGACACUGAACGGCGAAAGCCAGGGGAGCAAACGGG